Triticum urartu is the source of this 433-nucleotide non-coding RNA. The record is from RefSeq and is a predicted model, not a curated record. NCBI's taxonomy places the organism in Eukaryota, Viridiplantae, Streptophyta, Magnoliopsida, Poales, Poaceae.
CUGGAGCAGCCCCGACUAGUCUAUGCCUCAUCCAUAGGAUCGAUCCAAUGAAAAAGAAAAAAAAUCAGCGAUCGAUCGUCAUCGACACGAGCGAAGCGACGAGGUGUCUCUUCGUCUAUUCGUCUGGCACUGGCGGCAGGAUUCAAGAGGACAGGAGCAGCAUGAACGGCCGGACAACAGCAGAAGGGAGGACCUGAACUGAAUCACCUGAAAGGCAAGGAAAGUUCAGGCCAAUCUCCCGAUCUUCGUUUUUUAAGCGUCGUCGCGUCAAUACCUAGCAAUCCUGACAUCCUGUGUCUAGUAUUGCAAGAUCCAAGUCAUGUCUGCAUUUAGAAAACAUGAAUCUGGUUACAAAAAGCGUUUGAAGAAACAAAAAAAGAGGAUUUAACUCUGUCUCAAAAAGGAGAUAUGGAUAAUUUUGUCAUAAGAAUAC